RNAcentral lists this ribosomal RNA (465 nucleotides) under Vreelandella stevensii. RNAcentral's name for it is "partial 16S ribosomal RNA". It matches the Rfam family "Bacterial small subunit ribosomal RNA", at positions 338 to 795 of the family's 1533-position model. The record is from RNAcentral. Lineage: Bacteria; Pseudomonadati; Pseudomonadota; Gammaproteobacteria; Oceanospirillales; Halomonadaceae.
CCUACGGGGGGCAGCAGUGGGGAAUAUUGGACAAUGGGGGGAACCCUGAUCCAGCCAUGCCGCGUGUGUGAAGGAGGCCCUCGGGUUGUAAAGCACUUUCAGUGAGGAAGAACGCCUGGUGGUUAAUACCCAUCAGGAAAGACAUCACUCACAGAAGAAGCACCGGCUAACUCCGUGCCAGCAGCCGCGGUAAUACGGAGGGUGCGAGCGUUAAUCGGAAUUACUGGGCGUAAAGCGCGCGUAGGUGGCUUGAUAAGCCGGUUGUGAAAGCCCCGGGCUCAACCUGGGAACGGCAUCCGGAACUGUCAAGCUAGAGUGCAGGAGAGGAAGGUAGAAUUCCCGGUGUAGCGGUGAAAUGCGUAGAGCUCGGGAGGAAUACCAGUGGCGAAGGCGGCCUUCUGGACUGACACUGACACUGAGGUGCGAAAGCGUGGGUAGCAAACAGGAUUAGAUACCCCUGUAGUC